UAGGGAAUAUUGGUAAUCUGGGAAACCGGGAACCAGCAACGCCGCGUGCGCGAUGAAGGCCUUCGGGUUGUAAAGCGCUUUUUGAGAGGGUGAGGAAGGACAGUACUCUUAGAAUAAGCCUCGGCUAACUACGUGCCAGCAGCCGCGGUAAAACGUAGGAGGCGAGCGUUAUCCGGAUUUACUGGGCGUAAAGCGUGUGUAGGCGGUUUGAUAAGUUGGAUGUGAAAGCUCCUGGCUUAACUGGGAGAGGUCGUUCAAAACUAUCAGACUUGAGGAUGGUAGAGGGAGGUGGAAUUCCGCAUGUAGUGGUGAAAUGCGUAGAUAUGCGGAGGAACACCAGUGGCGAAAGCGGCCUUCUGGACCAUUUCUGACACUCAGAUGCGAAAGCUAAGGUAGCAAACA
Molecule: ribosomal RNA, 402 nt
Filed under: uncultured prokaryote
Description: bacterial SSU rRNA
Rfam family: Bacterial small subunit ribosomal RNA
Source: RNAcentral